This 655-nucleotide ribosomal RNA is filed under the name Vibrio sp. LC114. RNAcentral's name for it is "bacterial SSU rRNA". It matches the Rfam family "Bacterial small subunit ribosomal RNA", at positions 328 to 975 of the family's 1533-position model. The record is from RNAcentral. Lineage: Bacteria; Pseudomonadati; Pseudomonadota; Gammaproteobacteria; Vibrionales; Vibrionaceae.
GGUCCAGACUCCUACGGGAGGCAGCAGUGGGGAAUAUUGCACAAUGGGCGCAAGCCUGAUGCAGCCAUGCCGCGUGUAUGAAGAAGGCCUUCGGGUUGUAAAGUACUUUCAGCAGUGAGGAAGGUGGUAGUGUUAAUAGCACUAUCAUUUGACGUUAGCUGCAGAAGAAGCACCGGCUAACUCCGUGCCAGCAGCCGCGGUAAUACGGAGGGUGCGAGCGUUAAUCGGAAUUACUGGGCGUAAAGCGCAUGCAGGUGGUUUGUUAAGUCAGAUGUGAAAGCCCGGGGCUCAACCUCGCAAUUGCAUUGAAACUGGCAGACUAGAGUACAGUGUAGGGGGGUAGAAUUUCAGGUGUAGCGGUGAAAUGCGUAGAGAUCUGAAGGAAUACCGGUGGCGAAGGGCGSCCCCUGGACAGAUACUGACACUSAGAUGCGAAAGCGUGGGGAGCAAACAGGAUUAGAUACCCUGGUAGUCCACGCCGUAAACGAUGUCUACKUGGAGGUUGUGGCCCGAGCCUGUGGYUUUCGGAGCUAACGCGUUUAAGUAGACCGCCUGGGGAGUACSGUCGCAAGAUUAAAACUCAAAUGAAUUGACGGGGGCCCGCACAAGCGGUGGAGCAUGUGGUUUAAUUCGAUGCAACGCGAAGAACCUUACC